AUUUAGGCAGCGCCUGAGUCCUCCUGGUGUCAAGAGCUUCACUUUGCACUGAUCAAGUUGUUGGUUUGAUUGUUUCGUAAUCGGUGAACUCUAAGGAUAGAAGAAUUUGUAGUGGUGAGCCAUUAUUCUGCAAGCGUGAGCGUUCGGCUGAGUUAAGAGAAGGGAAAUAGUGUUUGCUGGAAGAACCCUUGGAAGAAGUGGAGGUUAAGGCUGAACCUUAAGACCGUUCGACAAUUAGAGAUUUUCAUUUUGUAUAAUCGUUCGGUAUAAGCAUAGUUUUGGAAACAUUCGGUCUAGUUCUUCUUUAUGUAAAGUUUUAAAUGCUAUGGUAUUUUUGUAAGGUCGUUCGGCCAUAAUCGUACCUUCUUUUUC
This is a long non-coding RNA of Vigna angularis (adzuki bean), 372 nucleotides long. RefSeq lists it as uncharacterized. The transcript is spliced from 3 exons. The record is from RefSeq and is a predicted model, not a curated record. Lineage: Eukaryota; Viridiplantae; Streptophyta; Magnoliopsida; Fabales; Fabaceae.